RNAcentral lists this ribosomal RNA (362 nucleotides) under uncultured Microvirga sp. RNAcentral describes it as "bacterial SSU rRNA". It matches the Rfam family "Bacterial small subunit ribosomal RNA", at positions 130 to 525 of the family's 1533-position model. Lineage: Bacteria; Pseudomonadati; Pseudomonadota; Alphaproteobacteria; Hyphomicrobiales; Methylobacteriaceae. The record is from RNAcentral.
CCUUCAGUUUGGGAUAACCCAGGGAAACUUCUUGCAAAUACCGGAUACGCCCUUCGGGGGAAAGAUUGAUCGCUGAAGGAUCGGCCCGCGUCUGAUUAGCUGGUUGGUGAGGUAAUGGCUCACCAAGGCGACGAUCAGUAGCUGGUCUGAGAGGAUGAUCAGCCACACUGGGACUGAGACACGGCCCAGACUCCUACGGGAGGCAGCAGUGGGGAAUAUUGGACAAUGGGCGCAAGCCUGAUCCAGCCAUGCCGCGUGAGUGAUGACGGCCUUAGGGUUGUAAAGCUCUUUCACCCACGACGAUAAUGACGGUAGUGGGAGAAGAAGCCCCGGCUAACUUCGUGCCAGCAGCCGCGGUAAUA